AAACUCAGCCCUUCAGGAAGAACCUCUUUUAUCCCCUUAUUUAUUAGAGUGUAGCUCGCUGGUUCCCUCGUCUAAAGGCUGGCUGUAAGAUCACACACUGACAAGUUCAGACUGAAUCUUGUUUUUUUCUUAGAGUCAGCGUGUGUGAUGGCAGAGCGAGCAAUCAGUGUGCUUUCAGGUUGGGCUUUUCAAUCGUCCAAAAGAAACUGUGCAGAAGAGCAAUGUGAUUAUAGGCCCGAGAAAGAAACCCAGCCACGCAGACACGUUGUUGGAGGUUUGACUGGGGAAGAAGAUGUAAAAAUACUGCUGUUAAGCUUCAGAGAUGGAUUUGUGAUUUCCUCAAACUACAGCAUGUGUGCAAUUAUGUCUUUGAGACCACAAUUUCACAAACACACACAAACAGAACACGCUAUUCAAAAUAACUGUUCCAUGAAAAAAGAAGGUCCAAAUUCUCCAAAUUACCUUUCUGAAAAAAACAUUAAUAUAAAGUUGCUUGAAAGAAAAAGAGGGAAACAAAUAAUAAGCCCACAAGUGGAAGACAGUCCCAACCUUGUAGCAAAACAAUUUUUUUUAAAUCUACGUAUGACAACACAGCAUAAAAUAUUGUGAAAAACUGAGUUAUUUUUUGUUAUUAAAAUACCCACAUUUUCAACAUAUGAGUGUUUUAAAUUUGAGGUGUCCAUUCAGUCAAAAUGAUGUAAUUCAUUUCCAGGACACACGGACCCAUUUUUUUGUAUUAACAUGAACUGAUUGUAAGAUCUGAUGUUUUGGCAGAAAACAAAUUAAAUAUGUUGUUGUAGGUUGUUAUUUGUAGGUUAAUAACAUUUUCUCCUUAUGUUAACAGAAAAACAUGAUCAGGUAGCCAUUCCAUUUCCCCUCAAGUCCUACAUAAACGAAAAUCCUUGAGCCUUCAUCAAAUCUGUAAAGACAACGUGAACAGCACUGUAUAACCUCUGAUUUAAACUCGUGACAUGCGUGUUCAGUAAAAGUCAGAACCAGACUGAGUGUAUUGAUCUGUGUUUCUCCGUGGAGGCUCCGAGCUCAGUGGCAGGACAGUUCAGACACUGUUUGGCAUUCAGAAGACCGAAGACACUGAACUUUAGAAUCCAUCGAUAGGAGACACAGAGGAAGAAGUGGGAAGGGAAUGAGUAAACAAACACGGUAGGGGAAGAGCGAGUGGGACGGAAACAGAAUGAGAGAGUGGAGCGAGGUGCUAAAUGAGAAGGAGGGAAGUGGCCGGCUCCGUUGUGGGUUGUUUCAGAUGUAGGGAUUGGUUUGCGGGCAGAGACACACCAGCAGCCUACAGAUAAAGACUCGAGUGCAGAAUAAAUAAUUGGAGUUGACUUGACGCUCCAAGAACAUGGUGUGCAAGAUGACACCGAGGUGUAAUUCUGAAUUAGAAUUUUCAGCAUUCAUACCGGCAUCUGUUGACAGUUUGAGUCAACACCUCUGGAUGCAUUUAUAUUUUGUUUCUAGCUGUCCUUGUGGUUUUUUUUUUGUUUUUUUUAACUUUUAUUAGAAGUGAAGGAAAACAUAAAUCCAAUGAAUUAUUGAUAGGGCUUUGAUUAAAAUUUCAUAUUUCAUAUUCUUUCAUUUUGUAUUUCCAAAAUUGAUCAAAAGACUCUGUGAGAAGGGCUCACUUUUUUAUGAGAAAACCCAGAGAGAUUUAACACAGUUUUAGUUCUCCUCAGCUUUAAAGAGCAUUUUAGUGUCUUUCAGCUCUUUGUUUUGGUUUUCAAGCGCCACAACAUUACGAUAAUGUCAUAUUUUCAUUCCGGCUGCAGCAGGCAACAAAAAGAAACACUGAGGUGACCACAGACAGGACUCCAGUUGAAUAAUAAUGUUGCUUUUUGUGCGUCAUAUGAUGUGUUAGUAAGCAACCCCAUGUCAAAUGUUUUGAUUACAGCCUAUUCUGCUGCUCCCAAGGGACCAAAAAAAAUCAAUCAAUACAGAUUUAGAAUGAGGAUUAAAUGGAAAAAAAAAGAUUAUAUAGCCCUCAUCAGUGGGUAUGCUUCAUUCAUCCACAUCGAACUGUUGCAAUUUGCCAAGUGUUUGUUUCAUAUAUUUUAGCUCAUUGAGCAAACCCUGGUAAAAAUGAAUGAAUGAUUUGCAUUAAAAUGUAUGCAAAAUCACUGUAAAACACCUUUCCCAGUCGAGGCCAAUAUAAACUCAUAGCUGUUGUUGUAACUAUUUGGAGUACGGGGAUGUUUUGGGUUCUUUUGAAAGGUUACAAGCUGAAUUAUUUUUCCCAUCAAAACCUCUGUAAGUGCUCCUGGCAUUAUUCUACAGGCGUCUGAACACACUGAGCUGUUCUCAUUUAUUUUUCUUGCCGGAAUUGUUUAAUGCAAUAAUAAGCCUACAGAUUACCUGCAACUGCCAGUAAAGAUAAAUUAUCUCACAUUAGAUAAUGGUAUCACUGAAAAUGAACCCCUAACACAUUAUUAGAAUGUGAUUUUUAACCAGCCUGGGAAGCCAAACAUGUCAGGGUGUAACCACUUGAUGAACAAUGCUGGAGUGGGAAAGACUCAUUUCAGUAUGAACCAGUUUACUGCAGACAGACUUAGUAUGGAGGCCACAAUGUAGUGUACGCACACACCAAGCACCGGAAUACAUCCAUUAGAAUAAUGAAAAUACGUUGUGUGGGGAAUUUUAAGAUGCUCACAUCAGUGUCUGGUGUGUGCUUGUGCAUUCAUGAUGACCUUUUGCCCGGAUCCCGCAGGACUGUUUCUCUGAGAAAAUGAAGGAAGAGGUGCGACGUGCUCACAUGAAUGAGAACUCAGCAGGACAGUGUCCAUGAAGGAGAGCGGGGCUGCACGGACAAUGGAUUGACACCGACAAAUGGUGGUAAAUGAAAUCACAGGCUGGCAACUCCACCCCAGGAGCCUGUACAUGAACACAGAUAUCAAAACUAUUGAAUGAAGUCGUGUGUUCUGAUGACGCUCUACGCUGCCUCUUCCUGCUGAAACUGUCAGAGAUGAUUGCUGCGUGUGAUCUCAUUCUAAAGGAACGUGACAGUCUCAGUCAGCAUGCCUGCUUUUGCGUGCAUAAUUCUUGGUUUAUACAAAGUACAACUGGCCGAGAAGAAAUGCAGCCACAUUGUUGGUAAAUUAUAGUAAUUUAAAUUUCCAUAAUGUUUUGACCUGAGA
This is a long non-coding RNA of Acanthopagrus latus (yellowfin seabream), 3146 nucleotides long. RefSeq lists it as uncharacterized. The record is from RefSeq and is a predicted model, not a curated record. The transcript has 4 exons. Lineage: Eukaryota; Metazoa; Chordata; Actinopteri; Spariformes; Sparidae.